This 253-nucleotide ribosomal RNA is filed under the name uncultured bacterium. Its description in RNAcentral is "partial 16S ribosomal RNA". It matches the Rfam family "Bacterial small subunit ribosomal RNA", at positions 524 to 776 of the family's 1533-position model. The record is from RNAcentral.
CACGUAGGGCGCAAGCGUUGUCCGGAAUUAUUGGGCGUAAAGAGCUCGUAGGCGGUCUGUUGCGUCCGCUGUGAAAACUCGGGGCUUAACCCCGAGCCUGCAGUGGAUACGGGCAGACUAGAGUUCGGUAGGGGAGACUGGAAUUCCCGGUGUAGCGGUGAAAUGCGCAGAUAUCGGGAGGAACACCGGUGGCGAAGGCGGUUCUCUGGGCCUUACCUGACGCUGAGGAGCGAAAGCGUGGGGAGCGAACAGG